CCCCUCUCGGGUUACCGAAUUCAGACAAACUCCGAAUGCCAAUUAAUUUAACUUGGGAGUCAGAACAUGGGUGAUAAGGUCCGUGUUCGAAAGGGAAACAGCCCAGACCACCAGCUAAGGUCCCAAAAUAUAUGUUAAGUGGAAAAGGAUGUGGCGUUGCCCAGACAACUAGGAUGUUGGCUUAGAAGCAGCCAUCAUUUAAAGAGUGCGUAAUAGCUCACUAGUCGAGUGACACUGCGCCGAAAAUGUACCGGGGCUAAACAUAUUACCGAAGCUGUGGAUUGUCCUUUGGACAAUGGUAGGAGAGCGUUCUAAGGGCGUUGAAGCAUGAUCGUAAGGACAUGUGGAGCGCUUAGAAGUGAGAAUGCCGGUGUGAGUAGCGAAAGACGGGUGAGAAUCCCGUCCACCGAUUGACUAAGGUUUCCAGAGGAAGGCUCGUCCGCUCUGGGUUAGUCGGGUCCUAAGCUGAGGCCGACAGGCGUAGGCGAUGGAUAACAGGUUGAUAUUCCUGUACCACCUAUAAUCGUUUUAAUCGAUGGGGGGACGCAGUAGGAUAGGCGAAGCGUGCGAUUGGAUUGCACGUCUAAGCAGUAAGGCUGAGUAUUAGGCAAAUCCGGUACUCGUUAAGGCUGAGCUGUGAUGGGGAGAAGACAUUGUGUCUUCGAGUCGUUGAUUUCACACUGCCGAGAAAAGCCUCUAGAUAGAAAAUAGGUGCCCGUACCGCAAACCGACACAGGUAGUCAAGAUGAGAAUUCUAAGGUGAGCGAGCGAACUCUCGUUAAGGAACUCGGCAAAAUGACCCCGUAACUUCGGGAGAAGGGGUGCUCUUUAGGGUUAACGCCCAGAAGAGCCGCAGUGAAUAGGCCCAAGCGACUGUUUAUCAAAAACACAGGUCUCUGCUAAACCGUAAGGUGAUGUAUAGGGGCUGACGCCUGCCCGGUGCUGGAAGGUUAAGAGGAGUGGUUAGCUUCUGCGAAGCUACGAAUCGAAGCCCCAGUAAACGGCGGCCGUAACUAUAACGGUCCUAAGGUAGCGAAAUUCCUUGUCGGGUAAGUUCCGACCCGCACGAAAGGCGUAACGAUUUGGGCACUGUCUCAACGAGAGACUCGGUGAAAUCAUAGUACCUGUGAAGAUGCAGGUUACCCGCGACAGGACGGAAAGACCCCGUGGAGCUUUACUGUAGCCUGAUAUUGAAAUUCGGCACAGCUUGUACAGGAUAGGUAGGAGCCUUUGAAACGUGAGCGCUAGCUUACGUGGAGGCGCUGGUGGGAUACUACCCUAGCUGUGUUGGCUUUCUAACCCGCACCACUUAUCGUGGUGGGAGACAGUGUCAGGCGGGCAGUUUGACUGGGGCGGUCGCCUCCUAAAAGGUAACGGAGGCGCUCAAAGGUUCCCUCAGAAUGGUUGGAAAUCAUUCAUAGAGUGUAAAGGCAUAAGGGAGCUUGACUGCGAGACCUACAAGUCGAGCAGGGUCGAAAGACGGACUUAGUGAUCCGGUGGUUCCGCAUGGAAGGGCCAUCGCUCAACGGAUAAAAGCUACCCCGGGGAUAACAGGCUUAUCUCCCCCAAGAGUUCACAUCGACGGGGAGGUUUGGCACCUCGAUGUCGGCUCAUCGCAUCCUGGGGCUGUAGUCGGUCCCAAGGGUUGGGCUGUUCGCCCAUUAAAGCGGUACGCGAGCUGGGUUCAGAACGUCGUGAGACAGUUCGGUCCCUAUCCGUCGUGGGCGUAGGAAAUUUGAGAGGAGCUGUCCUUAGUACGAGAGGACCGGGAUGGACAUACCUCUGGUGUACCAGUUGUCGUGCCAACGGCAUAGCUGGGUAGCUAUGUGUGGACGGGAUAAGUGCUGAAAGCAUCUAAGCAUGAAGCCCCCCUCAAGAUGAGAUUUCCCAACUUCGGUUAUAAGAUCCCUCAAAGAUGAUGAGGUUAAUAGGUUCGAGGUGGAAGCAUGGUGACAUGUGGAGCUGACGAAUACUAAUCGAUCGAAGACUUAAUCAA
Molecule: ribosomal RNA, 1996 nt
Filed under: Staphylococcus aureus
Lineage: Bacteria; Bacillati; Bacillota; Bacilli; Caryophanales; Staphylococcaceae
Description: partial 23S ribosomal RNA
Rfam family: Bacterial large subunit ribosomal RNA
Source: RNAcentral